This 2855-nucleotide unclassified non-coding RNA is filed under the name Hevea brasiliensis (rubber tree). The record is from RNAcentral. Lineage: Eukaryota; Viridiplantae; Streptophyta; Magnoliopsida; Malpighiales; Euphorbiaceae.
CGGAGCCAAAAUAUAUGCAAAGAAAGCAGCACCUGGAAUAUAGUACUCUCAAAAAUCAAAGGAUUAAGAAUUCCAAUGCAUCUAAACGGGUUCAAUCUCAGUGAAGUUAAAAUUAGAUAAUACAUUCAACUCAAUCAAGCUCAACUAGUUGAGCUCUUCUCUCUGCAGCUUUCUUUCUUACAAAUAUCCCCCAGCGCAGAGCUGCUUUCAGCUUAAGCCAUCCCACAACAGCCUUCCCUGAACCCCUGCCGCGUUCCUGUGUGUAUGCUUGAUCCAUCUGAGGCUCAUAUGCUUGAAUGCUGUAAGAGUAACAAGCCUCAUCAGGAUGACCAAAACCACUACCCAUUCCAACCCCAACUCCCAUACUGAACGUUUUCAGAAGUCUCUGCAUGUCAUCACUCUCUAACAUCUCUGAACUCCUGAGCCGGAUUUCUUCAGCAAAGAAGUCUUCUGAUCCCUGCCCAUUCCUCGGUUGAGACCAGUCUCCUGCAAUAUAAGCACCCCCAGCAGGAGUUCCAAUUGACAUGUGAUCCAUGCCACCACCAGCUAAUGCUGCCUGUGGAUUAUUUAGGGUCGUGACUGCAUUAUGAUCAGGCCUCACAAAUGGAAAUUCAAUUAACUGAGGAACUGAUGUGUGGUUAUUUACAGAUUGGCUUUGCGAACAUUGUUCGGAUGAGAUAUAUUGCUGCUGCCUGUUGUGGUUAGAAGUAAUAUACUGAUUUGUGUCAUAGUUGUUUAUUAUGGGUGCAACUGAGGCUCUUUCCCUGUUCUUAGUACUAGUUAGGGAGUUCAGGACUUUGCCAUCAUAUUCUAUGACUUGCUGCCAAUUUUCAUAUGCUCGCUUUACCAGAGAAUCCACUGAUACCUUCUGAUUGUGGUUAAGCGAUUCCAAAGGGAGGAACUGCCCAUCAGUAAUGAGGCCUCUGAGUUCAUAAAUAUGGUUGAAAACAACACCAGUGCUGUGAGCCACAUCUGAGAAGUAAACGUAAACCUUCCCCCCCAAAACACAGGUCUUAGCGUGCUCCACAGUAUUCUCCCACAUCCUAUUGGACAUUCCACUUCCAAGUAUAUUUCUCAAUUUCUGUGGAUCCCGCAUAAGAAGCCGAAGAAAAUCUUCAACUGUUACAAUUUUAGCCUUUACCAGUUUUUUGUGGAGUGCUCCAUCCUUUGCUAUUCUGUCCAAUCUCCAAACUUCAUCAUUUAAUGCAGGUGGAUAGUGCUUCUUGUAUAAUUCUCCUCGGUGAUCUUUAACAGCAAAUGCCUCUGUUUUAGCCUCACGAACACGAACACCUUCACAAGAUCCAGAAGCAACCUUAACACCAAGCCUGAACUUUCUGCUCCUUAUCCAGCUAGAAUUAUCAGUGAAAGUAAGAUCUCCAAGAGUUCCUACCCCUUCCUUUAGAGUCACUUGUAGAUCCCCAGUCAGGAGAGGCCUUUUCCCUUCACGCUCUUUUACUUCAUGGCCUUCAAAGUGUUCCGCAGUCCAAUCUUCAUCAGCCUCCUCGUUGAAGUCACCUUCAAGAACCACAACAUUCAGUUUGGCAACUGAUUGAGGUCCAGUUUGCAUGACACAGCCUGAGGUAGCAUCUAGCAGGACAACAUGGAUAGCUGCUCCUUGUUCCCCCUCAACCUUCCCACCUGUGAAUAGGUGAGGUGGCAUCCUUGUUCUGAAAUGAAGCUGUAGAUUUCUUCCUUCUGGCCCUUGUAUUUUUGGUGGUGAUCUUGCUGCCAAGUUAGCAUGACCCAUUCUUGUCAGAGCACGCUCCACUUCUUCACUAACCUGUGCAUUCAUUUGAAAUUCCAAAAUCAACAAAAGAAGAACCUCCAGAAUUAAACCAGAUAGAAGGAGAUUGAGCCACAAUAAUGCCAUUGAUAAAUUGAACCAACAGCUACAAAAUAUUGGAUGACAAGAAAACACUCAAAUAUCAUCAAUGAUUUUUGUUUAGCAUUAUGUUGCAUUAAAUCAAAUGGAAAUCAAUGUUUUCUGCACAUCUCUUUCUCCCAACUAUUUCCAUUACAACUAUAAAUAAGAUCUAAUAGGUAACUUCAGCCUUCAGCCAUACCAUACAAUCAUGUAGUAGUAGAUAUAGACCAGCAGCAGUACUAUUAUACCAUUGAAGGGUUCAGAACAACUGUUAAAAUAAUAAAACAAAUAAUUUAUGACUCACGAUUCUGCGAAAUAGAGGCUCCAAAGAUGAGCAAAGUCUUUGCAAACUAUCCACCUUCAAAGCUUCCACAAUAACACUUGCUAAAGCCGGCAUUUUUGCCUUCUUUGGAUCAGGCAAGUGGUCAGCUUCAUCUUCAACACACUGCUCAUAACCCCUUUUCUCUAUACUCCUGCCCCUUGAAUUUUCCAUUUAUAGAAACUAAAAAAAAAAUCCAAAUAUUUUGAUUUAUCUUUCCAAAUAUAGAACACCAAGAUUGUCCUAAAUAUCCACUUAAACUCCAAGAAACAUUACCGCUGCACUGAAAUUUCCAAGAGCGAGAGAGAGAGAUUAAAGACUGAAAAUUUCAGAUCCCAAAAGAAACAGAAAACUGCUUUGGAUGGCAAUUUAUGGAUCUGGGUUAGUGUAAGGAUGGUCAGCUAGUUUUGCAUAGAUGCAAUCCAGGUUGAUAUCUUUUAAUGGUCUAAGAUCUAAAACAGAAUAUAAAAAUGGUUGCUUUUCUUACACUAUAUUAAUGCAAGCAAGGAAGGGAGAAAGACCAAUCACAGACACAGCUGUAUAAGCGCACGAACUUUGAAAGUCUUUGAAACCGCGUUUGUUGGUGAAAUCAAAUGAAACCCUUAUCAUCUGUUGGCAUUUGACCGCUUUUUUGCCUGUUAGAUGAGAAGAAAAGUCGGAUUCCUUGGAGGA